This 396-nucleotide long non-coding RNA is filed under the name Rattus norvegicus (Norway rat). RNAcentral's name for it is "long non-coding RNA NONRATT010285". Lineage: Eukaryota; Metazoa; Chordata; Mammalia; Rodentia; Muridae. The record is from RNAcentral.
UUGACUCCCAUCUUCUCGAGGAGCCACCGCUCUGAUUUCCAUAAUGGCUGUACAAGUCUGCACUUCCCCCAGCAGUGGAUGAGUGUUCCUCUUACUCUGUAUCCUUGCCAACAUGAGCUGUUAUUUGUUUUGAUGAUCUUACCCAUUCUGACAGGAAUAAGAUUAAAUCUCAAAGAAGUUUGAUUUGCAUUUCCCUGUUAGCUAAAAGUGUUGAACAUUCCUUUAAGGAUUUUUCAGCCAUUUGUGUUUCCUCUAUUGAAAAUCGUUUAGAUCUGUACCCCCUCUUAAAGUCGUAUUAUUGUUUUCUUGACAUUUUGCUUUUUGGUUCUUCGUAUGUGUAUGUUUUGGAUACUAGCCCUCAACCGGAUGUGUAGUUGGUAAAAAAAAAAAAAAAAA